AUACUUACCUGGCAGGGAAGAUACCAUGAUCAAGAAGGUGGUUUCCCAGGGCGAGGCUUAUCCAUUGCACUCCGGAUGUGCUGACCCCUGCGAUUUCCCCAAGUGUGGGGAAACUCGACUGCAUAAUUUGUGGUAGUGGGGGACUGCGUUCGCGCUUUCCCCUG
Molecule: small nuclear RNA, 164 nt
Filed under: Felis catus (domestic cat)
Lineage: Eukaryota; Metazoa; Chordata; Mammalia; Carnivora; Felidae
Description: U1 spliceosomal RNA (ENSFCAG00000041487.1)
Rfam family: U1 spliceosomal RNA
About the family: U1 is a small nuclear RNA (snRNA) component of the spliceosome (involved in pre-mRNA splicing).
Source: Rfam by way of RNAcentral